Molecule: ribosomal RNA, 477 nt
Filed under: uncultured bacterium
Lineage: Bacteria
Description: bacterial SSU rRNA
Rfam family: Bacterial small subunit ribosomal RNA
Source: RNAcentral
UUCGCAAUGCCCGAAAGGGUGACGAAGCGACGCCGCGUGCGGGAAGAAGGCCUUCGGGUUGUAAACCGCUGUCGGGAGUUAGGAAGUGCAAGGAUGUUAAUAGCGUUCUUGCUUGACUAAGGCUCCGGAGGAAGCCACGGCUAACUCUGUGCCAGCAGCCGCGGUAAUACAGAGGCGGCAAGCGUUGUUCGGAAUUAUUGGGCGUAAAGAGCACGUAGGCGGCUGUGCAAGUCGGUUGUGAAAGCCUUCCGCUUAACGGAAGAACGGCAUCCGAUACUGCAUAGCUUGAGUGCGGGAGGGGAGAGUGGAACUUCUGGUGGAGCGGUGAAAUGCGUAGAUAUCAGAAGGAACGCCGGCGGCGAAAGCGGCUCUCUGGCCCAUAACUGACGCUGAGUGUGCGAAAGCUAGGGGAGCAAACGGGAUUAGAUACCCCGGUAGUCCUAGCCGUAAACGAUGGGCACUAAGUAGAGGGGUUUU